GAUGAACGCUAGCGGCAGGCCUAACACAUGCAAGUCGAGGGGCAGCACAGAAACAGCAAUGUUUUGGUGGCGACCGGCGGACGGGUGCGUAACGCGUAUGCAACCUACCUUACACAGGGGGAUAACGGAUGGAAACGUCCACUAACACCCCAUAACAUCGGAAUCGGCAUCGGAUUCGGUUGAAAUCUCCGGAGGUGUAGGAUGGGCAUGCGUUGUAUUAGAUAGUUGGUGAGGUAACGGCUCACCAAGUCAACGAUACAUAGGGGGACUGAGAGGUUAGCCCCCCACACUGGAACUUAGACACGGUCCAGACUCCUACGGGAGGCAGCAGUGAGGAAGCUUGCGCAAUGGGCGAAAGCCUGACGCAGCGACGCCGCGUGGAGGAUGAAGGUCUUCGGAUUGUAAACUCCUGUUAAGUGGGAAGAAAUAGCCAUCCUUAAUACGGGUGGCGAAUGACGGUACCAUUAGAGAAAGCACCGGCUAAUCUCGUGCCAGCCGCCGCGGUAA
RNAcentral lists this ribosomal RNA (507 nucleotides) under uncultured bacterium. Its description in RNAcentral is "partial 16S ribosomal RNA". It matches the Rfam family "Bacterial small subunit ribosomal RNA", at positions 28 to 523 of the family's 1533-position model. The record is from RNAcentral.